RNAcentral lists this unclassified non-coding RNA (106 nucleotides) under Chryseobacterium soldanellicola. RNAcentral's name for it is "Flavo-1 RNA". Lineage: Bacteria; Pseudomonadati; Bacteroidota; Flavobacteriia; Flavobacteriales; Weeksellaceae. The record is from RNAcentral.
CCCUAGCCCCGAUUGGAGCAUUUGUCUGAGCUCAUUUUCUGUUUUGGGCGGCGGCGAAGCCGCCGCCCAAAACAGAAAAUAGCGAGUGCGGAAAGCGGGAUCAAGC